Molecule: ribosomal RNA, 468 nt
Filed under: uncultured bacterium
Lineage: Bacteria
Description: partial 16S ribosomal RNA
Rfam family: Bacterial small subunit ribosomal RNA
Source: RNAcentral
GACGAACGCUGGCGGCGUGCUUAACACAUGCAAGUCGAACGGAAAGGCCCUGCUUUUGUGGGGUGCUUGAGUGGCGAACGGGUGAGUAACACGUGAGUAACCUGCCCUUGACUUUGGGAUAACUUCAGGAAACUGGGGCUAAUACCGGAUAGGAGCUCCUGCUGCAUGGUGGUGGUUGGAAAGUUUCGGCGGUUGGGGAUGGACUCGCGGCUUACCAGCUUGUUGGUGGGGUAGUGGCGUACCAAGCCUUUGACGGGUAGCCGGCCUGAGAGGGUGGCCGGCCACAUUAGGACUGAGAUACGGCCCAGACUCCUACGGGAGGCAGCAGUGGGGAGUAUUGCACAGUAAGCGGGAGCCUGAUGCGACAGCGCCGCGUGCGGGAUGACGGGCUUCGGGUUGUGAACCGAUGUCGCCUGUGACGAGGCGUGAGUGACGGUAAUGGGUAAAGAAGCACCGGCUAACUACGUG